This 198-nucleotide unclassified non-coding RNA is filed under the name uncultured fungus. RNAcentral describes it as "sequence contains ITS1, 5.8S rRNA gene". Lineage: Eukaryota; Fungi. The record is from RNAcentral.
CCGAGUUAGGGUUGCCUUUUCAAGGUGCCCGACCUCCCAACCCUUUGUCUAUGAUACCACAGUUGCUUCGGCGGACCGAGGGAUCAGACCCUCGCCGGGACCUUCGGGGCCUGGAGAGCGUCCGUCGAUGGCCUCAACUUAACACUUGAACCCAAAACCUGUCGUCUGAAAACAUUUUAUGAUUUAUAAUCAAAAACA